This 492-nucleotide ribosomal RNA is filed under the name uncultured bacterium. Its description in RNAcentral is "partial 16S ribosomal RNA". It matches the Rfam family "Bacterial small subunit ribosomal RNA", at positions 29 to 507 of the family's 1533-position model. The record is from RNAcentral.
AGUGAACGCUGGCGGUAGGCCUAACACAUGCAAGUCGAACGGCAGCACAGUAAGAGCUUGCUCUUACGGGUGGCGAGUGGCGGACGGGUGAGGAAUACAUCGGAAUCCACUUUUUCGUGGGUGAUAACGUCGGGAAACUUACGCUAAUACCGCAUACGACCUACGGGUGAAAGCAGGAGAUCUUCGGACCUUGCGCGAUUGAAUGAGCCGAUGUCGGAUUAGCUAGUUGGCGGGGUAAAGGCCCACCAAGGCGUCGAUCCGUAGCUGGUCAGAGAGGUAGAACAUCCACACUGGAAUUGAGACACGGUCCAGACUCGUACAGGAGGCCGCAGUGGGGAAUAUAGGGCAAUGGGCGCAAGCGUGGUCCAGUAAUACCGCGUGGGUGAAGAAGGCUGUCGGGUUGUAGAGCCCGUUUGUUGGGGAAGAAAAGCAGCAGCUUAAAACGACGGGGUUCUGACGGUACCGAAAGAAUAAGCACCGGCUAACUACGUG